UACGAAGGGGGCUAGCGUUGUUCGGAAUCACUGGGCGUAAAGCGCACGUAGGCGGAUCGUUAAGUCGGGGGUGAAAUCCCCGGGCUCAACCCGGGAACUGCGUCCGAUACUGGGAGGCUUGAAUCCGGGAGAGGGAUGUGGAAUUCCAGGUGUAGCGGUGAAAUGCGUAGAUAUCUGGAGGAACACCGGUGGCGAAGGCGGCAUCCUGGACCGGUAUUGACGCUGAGGCGCGAAAGCCAGGGGAGCAAACGGG
Molecule: ribosomal RNA, 253 nt
Filed under: uncultured bacterium
Lineage: Bacteria
Description: partial 16S ribosomal RNA
Rfam family: Bacterial small subunit ribosomal RNA
Source: RNAcentral